Molecule: ribosomal RNA, 450 nt
Filed under: uncultured Glomeromycotina
Lineage: Eukaryota; Fungi; Glomeromycota
Description: SSU rRNA
Rfam family: Eukaryotic small subunit ribosomal RNA
Source: RNAcentral
AGCAGCCGCGGUAAUUCCAGCUCCAAUAGCGUAUAUUAAAGUUGUUGCAGUUAAAAAGCUCGUAGUUGAAUUUCGGGGUCAGUAGUCUGGUCGUGCCACUGGUAUGUACUGGGCUCACUGAUUCCUCCUUCCUGAUGAACUGUAAUGCCAUUAAUUUGGUGUUGCAGGGAAACUGGACUGUUACUUUGAAAAAAUUGGAGUGUUUAAAGCAGGCUAACGCUUGAAUACAUUAGCAUGGAAUAAUGAAAUAGGACGUUCGAUCCUAUUUCGUUGGUUUCUAGGAUUGACGUAAUGAUUAAUAGGGAUAGUUGGGGGCAUUAGUAUUCAAUUGUCAGAGGUGAAAUUCUUGGAUUUAUUGAAGACUAACUACUGCGAAAGCAUUUGCCAAGGAUGUUUUCAUUAAUCAAGAACGAAAGUUAGGGGAUCGAAGACGAUCAGAUACCGUCGUAG